Oreochromis niloticus (Nile tilapia) is the source of this 3078-nucleotide long non-coding RNA. RefSeq lists it as uncharacterized. The transcript has 3 exons. The record is from RefSeq and is a predicted model, not a curated record. Lineage: Eukaryota; Metazoa; Chordata; Actinopteri; Cichliformes; Cichlidae.
UAGAGAACACACCAGAAUAAGAUGAUUAUGGGUGGGAAAGCAAAGUGAGUGCAGACUGUGUUGUGUGUUGAUCCUUUUACCAGAACAACUAUGUCUUAUAAUACAGUAUAAUAUAAAGGGAAUAUAGAAACUGUGGAUUGUAGACAGUGGUGGUGGUAAAGAUUAAGAUGGAGGCUUGCAUGGGGCUCUGAGUGACCAGGGUGAGGUGGAGAUGUUAGAACUUGGUUGGAUUAAUAAGAGUCCUAAAGGCAGAAUGACAGAAGAGCACUGAAAUUGAAAGCACACAGAAGGCAGGCAACAAAAUGAAUGAUGUCAACAGUGAGGUUGACAGUGUGGGAAAGAGGAAAUGAUGAUCAGAAUAGACUAGCAGACUAUGCUAACGCCAAGGAAAGGGGGCAGAUGAGUGAUUACAGAUCUUCUUUAUUGAACAUUUCCUAAAGUGUGGCUCUGUGACCUCAGGAAACAUUUUCCUUAUGACUUAAUGGGAUCAUUCACCAGUUGCUGUCAUGGUCUGUAGCUUUUGUGGACUUUAAUUUGAGUUGCUUUUCACUGAUAAUUUUGAGAUUUAGUUUUAGCUUCUAUUUUAGGGCUGAGUUUUACUAGUUUGAGUGAUUGUCCUUGGAUUUAAAAUUCUGUUAUAAUUGUGUUCAUGUUCACUCGUAUUCUUGUAUAUUUCCUUAAUGUUUUGAUGUCAAGACUUUGUUUCUGUGUUAUGUGUUUUCCUGUUUCUUUUUAUUUAUUUAUUAUUUAAUUUGUUCCUUGCCUCUUGGCUUUAGGUUAACUUCCCUCCUCUCGUCUCAAUGGUCUUGAUCGUUUUCAGCUGCAUUUUGUCACCCUCCUGUGUUCCAAACCAAAUUGACCACGGCAGACCCGACGGCAUGAACAUGGUUUGCAUCCUUUAUUUACACACACAAAGCUGCAGCUCUCCCGCUGCCAGCUCAACGUAACAACGACCAACAACCACAAUGCAGGACCCAGUACCAUAUUUAAGUUGGCGGGGCAUGAUUGCAGAUGCCGUGCAGGUGUGUCCACCUUCCCUGCACGGCACCGCAGGCCACGCCCCGCCACACUCAUGUGUACAUAUAAUCCAGUCUUUACCUCAGUCUUUGUCACAGUGUGUGUUUGGUCCUUUGUGUUACUUAUGCUGCAGUUCCUAAGUUUGGACUUUGUUCUCUUUGGGCUUCUACACUCAACCUAAUUAAAGGUUUCCUUAAAUCAGACGGGGCCCUCUUAGGGAGAUUGGGUCUCUCCUACUGUCACUGCAAACUUUCCAUAUCACUACUGCUGUAGUUUAAGAUUGGUCAGCCUUCGGGAAUCCAAAGAAGUUCCCUGCCCUGUCUGCAUCUCUGAAAAUAUCUAUGCAGUUAUCUCCUUUCUAAAUAGAGAGGUCAUGUAUACAGAAGAGUUCAAUCAGGUGCCACACACAGAUCUACAAGUGCAGAUUCAACAGGAAUAACUUAGACCUCCCACGUCUUUCUGGGUCUGAGUCAACCUGUCAUCAUGCAUCUUCCUCACACCCCGCCACCCCCUCUCUCAACUCCUAUUUCACCUUAAUUUGUGUAUUUUUCACUGCGGCCAAAUCUUUUAUUAGAGGCUAUUCUUCUUCUAACCUUAACAUCUAAAACCUACGUGGAGCAGCGUAGCGAGGCCAGCUGGUAAGGCUCAGGCAGGAGUUUUCGACAGAGCGAUGAAGAAGAAGAGGCCGAGGAAUAAACUAGUCCCUCAAGGGAGAUAUAAACAUUUACUUUUCCAUAAGGGGAUGGCCGUAGCGUUGCAAGCAGUCGGAAAAGAGGCACAGAGAAAAAAAAAGGUGAAAGUAAAAGGAAGCAAGAUAGAUAGAAAUGGAAGUGUGUGACUCAUCAGUGUCCCUUAAAGCAGUUUAUUCAAACAACAGCAGCUGACCUGGACACUUCUUUUCUAAAAUCCUUUUAAAAACAAGCAGAGCAGAUCAUGUAAAAGUGACUGUAACCACCAUCAGGAAUUAAACUGCAGUGACCAGAAUGCAUUCUUUGCUUAACGAGAAGUUUUAACAUUUAACCCUGACUUCCCCCCAAAAAAUCUAAGCAGUGUGCUUUGCUGCAUCUGUUACUUUUUUAUUGGGCUAACUUAUAUUUUUUAAAAAUCCACCAAAUGUCACUUUGUAUGGAGCAAAGAGCCACAUAGUCUGCACUCCCAAUGAGCUGUUGGUAACACCACAUUUAAAUGUAUUUAUAGAUCAAUAAUUAGUGGCUGAUUUGCAGGCCAGGCUGUAAUUAUUUGGACUGUUACACUCGUCUCUGUUAUUCAAGCUCCGCACUUCAGCAUUCAAUUUGACAUUUAAAAAAUGGACACUAAUAAAAUUCUAAAUCUUAUCUGCUUACAUGGGCAUUUAGUAUAUGGAAAGGGGAAAACAGCACACAGGCGCUGUCCCACGCCGACGUCCUCCCAUAACCGUGCAAACACAAGGUUGCGACCGACUGGAUGAAUCUUUCUUCAUUUUGGGUUGACAAAAGUAAAUUCAAAACUUUUCUUUGAGUUUCCAGAUGCACCACGUUGCCCCCUGAUGUGCACAAUGUAGCCAAGCCCUCAACUUUAUGUAAAUGAGGAGUGUGCUAUUCGACACCCCCCUCGCUCAAAAUGCAACGCGACACCACAAGAAUGCAUUGCAUGACUGCUCACACAGGCAGUGAAUGCUAAGUGUGGAAAUGAUGGCCCCUGUGGACAUGUACCUUCACAGGAAAGAGCUUGCAUGCAGCUCAGUUAUUGCAAUAACUAUAUAAAAAAGGACAGUAAGUGGUGAUGUCAGGCAAUAAAAGGUGAUGGAUAACAUUCAUUAGAUAAGAAAGAAAUGCCAGUGAACAAACUUCAGAAUGUCCCUCUAUGGUCCUUGGAGAAUGAUCUUGUAAGGAGCUAACAUCAGAGACUAAGGGUUGCAGUAUUUCUGUGUAGAUAGAUUUGGACUGCAUGAAAAGAAAUGUCCUCUGCUUUUUUACCCACAAAGUAAGCUCAUACAUUUGAUUCAUAUUUUACUUGCAAAAACUGAAAAUCUGUGCAGAGGUGGGAAACCAGGCAAGGUUUGAAGUCUUUCAUCAUAACCAU